UGCAUCAAUUUUUACAGACUUCCUUAUAUGUUGUGUAAAACGAGGAGCACUUUCAUUUAUUGUAAAUGAAGCUCAUUGAAAUUAUUUUGUUUUCACUUUUUUUAAUACUUUUGGGAUUCAAAAUAAGGGAAAUCAAUUCAAUAACUAAUCGUAUAGGUAGUUAUCAAUUAUCCGAGAGCACUGCAGUUUUAGCAAGCAUAUUUGACCCACCAAGCUACCGAUCGUCGAAACUAAAAUGUCUUCUGACAUGUUUGAGAACAAGGCAAUGUAAUUCAGCAGGUAACUACAAUCAAAGAUGUCUUCAAACAGACCAAGGGCACAGCAACAACAACUACAACUAUGAAGUGCAUCAAAGUGUUGAUCAGAUCUACCACGCGGCUCCUCCGGACUUCCAAUGUUUCGUCAACGGAGUAUCGCAACCUGAUUCUGGAGUUUGUGAUCUCGACAGUAAAACCAGCUACGAAUGGUCGGCAUGGGAAGAUGUAACUGCCAAUCCUUGUGGAUCAAUUUCACGAGUGGUCAUAACCCGACAGCAAA
This is a long non-coding RNA of Symsagittifera roscoffensis, 537 nucleotides long. RefSeq lists it as uncharacterized. Lineage: Eukaryota; Metazoa; Xenacoelomorpha; Acoela; Convolutidae. The record is from RefSeq and is a predicted model, not a curated record. The transcript has 3 exons.